Molecule: long non-coding RNA, 1414 nt
Filed under: Anas platyrhynchos platyrhynchos (common mallard)
Lineage: Eukaryota; Metazoa; Chordata; Aves; Anseriformes; Anatidae
Description: lncRNA (ENSAPLG00000026841.1)
Source: RNAcentral
GGUGAGUGCGUGGAGUGCCUGGUCCCUGAGCCCCUGGGGCCGUGGUUCUCCUUGUCUGUGUCUGGCAUGAGAGCAGAUGGGGUCUUUGCCUUGAAAUGAAUCCCUCCCCAAGUCAAGCACCAGCCACGGGCUCUUUCCCCAGCCACAGGAACUGACCCCCACCUCUCCCUGGGGGGCUACGAGGCCGGAGGCGUCCGGGUGCUGUGUCGAUCGGCCGGCUGGUACCCGCUGCCGCAGCUGCUGUGGAGGGAUGCUCGCGGGCAGCACCUGCCCUCGGUCUCCCAGACACAUUCCCAGGACCAGGAGGGGCUCUUUGAAAUCGAAGGUGCCGUCAUCAUGACCGGGAGUGUGGAGGGGCCCUUGUCCUGCGUGGUCAGGAGCAGCCGCCUGCAGCAGGAAUGGGAAUUUUCCCUGCACAUUGCAGGUACAAAUGGCACAGCCAGGGUGAGGUGUUCCUGGCCCCUGCACUUGUCCCGAGCCGGGAGAAGUCUGGGUCUUGCUCUUCCACCCACGGGCAUGGAUACACAGCCCUUUUCCUGGUGCCUUUUCUCAGCUCCCUUCUUCCACAAUGCCCAGCCCUGGAUGGUGGCUCUGGCUCUGGUCCUGGUGCUUUUGGCUGUGUCCAUUGGCCUCGGUGUUUAUCUAUUUCGAAAGCAAGCGGCACAGAGCCGAGAGCUGGGUGAAUCCUUGCAGUCCCUGCCCCCAACCCUGGGGAAGUGGUGUCUGUGUGGGAGGGCCUAGGCUGGGUGGGCUCAGGGGGCUUGUGUGCUGGUGGCUCGGGGGUGCUGGAGGAGCAGCUGGAGCCUGGGGUGGGAGUGGGGAGUGCUGGGGCUGGGGCUGCCCUGGGCACGGGACACAGCCGGGAUGGCUGAAAGGAGCAGGGAUCAAGGUGGGGACGGGGAGCGAGCUGUGGGGCUGCCCCACUCUGCACUGAUGCUUCUGGGACAGGGACGUCCUCCACCCAUCCCCAUUCACUUCCCCUUGUGUUUUGGUGGCUAGGUGCAGAGAGCUGCAUAAGUGUCUGUUCUUCAAGCUAGAAGUCUUGCAAAAUGCUAGCCCUAGGUCUUUGUUAGUGGGGUCGCUACAAGUCUGGGAGCAAGGUCGUCUGUGCCCAUGCAUGAGAGCAAAAAAUUUGGGGUCUAGCCAUCUAGCCAUGGAAGCAGCAAUGUGGUGAAAGUCUCUCCACUCUGACCAUUCAUUCCUUUUGCUUUUUAUAGCAGCAAAAAAGGAUGCAAAGCUGGGUAAGUCUCCUUCCCCAAAGAGAAGGCAUUUGGUGUCUUACCAUGGGCAUACUCCCAUCUGACAGUACAUUGCUUUUCUUUUUCUUUUCCAGUGGAACAGGCUGCAGAGAUAGGUGAGUGUCCAUCCCUGAACUGGAAGAAUUUGCAGUGUAGACAAUGGAUGAGAAGUUUUU